AACCUAGCACACCUGCGGUGUGUACCUGCGGAGGGAUCAUUACCGAGUCUUCGUACUCAAAACAACCCUUCUGUGGACCUGAAUAAAACCGUUGCCUCGGCAGGCGGCCCUACCUACGGGCCAGAUAGUUCGGCUGCCUCCAGGGAGGAAACCCUCCCUGAGGUGCUGGCGCCAGCCGCUGGCCCCAAACCAAAACUCUAGUAACUUUUACCUUCUGAGUUUUAAUGCAAGAAAUAAGUC
RNAcentral lists this unclassified non-coding RNA (240 nucleotides) under soil metagenome. RNAcentral's name for it is "partial contains 5.8S ribosomal RNA, internal transcribed spacer 2, and large subunit ribosomal RNA". The record is from RNAcentral.